UAACCCAUCACGCCUGGCGUGGUCUUGGGGUUCGCAUUCUAGCGGCCCCUAAAAUCAGUGGCGGUGUCCGUUGGGCUCUAAGCGUAGUAAUUUCUCCUCGCUUCUGGGCUCUGCAGGCGCUAGCCAGAACCCCCAACUUUCUCAGG
Molecule: unclassified non-coding RNA, 146 nt
Filed under: uncultured Helotiales
Lineage: Eukaryota; Fungi; Ascomycota; Leotiomycetes; Helotiales
Description: sequence contains ITS2
Source: RNAcentral